CACUCACCGCCCGUCACAUCACCCGAGUCUGGUGCUCCCGAAGUCGCUGGCCGAACCCGCAAGGGACGGAGGCGCCGAAGGAGUGCCCGGUGAGGGGGUG
Molecule: ribosomal RNA, 100 nt
Filed under: uncultured bacterium
Lineage: Bacteria
Description: partial 16S ribosomal RNA
Rfam family: Bacterial small subunit ribosomal RNA
Source: RNAcentral